Molecule: long non-coding RNA, 1115 nt
Organism: Bos taurus (domestic cattle)
Lineage: Eukaryota; Metazoa; Chordata; Mammalia; Artiodactyla; Bovidae
Source: Ensembl
GGGUGAGGGUGGGCUAUCAGAUCAUUAGAGUGUUUAGUUAUUUUAAGUGAAAAAGUCUAGAUGGCAACUUAAAAAUGUGUCCACAGUUUUUGUUAUUUCACAGAACAGGGGCAAGAAAGUCUGAAGAUCUCUGCUUUAAGGGAAUGUCGCUCUGAAGCACUCCUAACUUAACAGGUGAUCGCAAUGAUGAGAGGGCUGCCUUCCAGCCCCUCAGCUGGUUCCCCCCUCACCAUCCCCCCAGCGUCCACAUCCCAAGUUCAUCCCCAAACCCCUCCCCUCAAAAUAACUGAUGGAAAAACACUCCUCUUUCCAAACCAAAAAUCACCUCCUCUUUUGGAUAAAUGUGUUUUCCUAAAAUGUGGGAAGAAUUUGGUCACCAACUAAUUCAACGGACUCCAGGAUUCAAGGGUGAAGCCCCAGGAGAGACCCUUCAGCAAACUCCAAAAACUGCAAACCAGCUGACAGAGAAUCCCAGGCUGGAAGGCCCACAGGCUCUGCUGCCCAUGAUUUAUCAAUUAGCGCGAACGGGACUGAAAUUCCAGAUUUUUAAGACAACCGACUCCUCCCUCCCCGCCACUCCAGAAGCCCCAGCAUUCUGCAGCCGCAAGGAUAUUCCCACCUGGGACCUACAGAGCUCCAGGCCACAGCCGCUGCCUCUCCCCACCUUUAAGUGGAUUCUGCAAAACCUCUUGAGCAUUCAAUAAACUCUUACUGUUUCUUUGAAUACAUAAUUCAGAUCCACUAGAAAACUGAGGAAAAGUAUUCAUUUUUAAAGGCGGCUAGGGUCACUCUUUUGGAUGCCCUGCCAUUUAAUACACCGCAUCAGGGUAAUACACCAAUCCUCCAGCUUUUUAUCGUCUUCCUUUUUCUCCUACUACAGGCGCAAAAUAUAAGAGCUGAAAGAUUCCCCCUUACCCUACCACUGAAGUGCAGAGCACACUCACAGAACGCCGGAAGAUCGACCUGGCUUUUCCCAGGAGCAGGCUUCGAUUCUGACAAUCAUUUGACCCCACAACUAUGGCUUCGAUCACUCAUUUUCUAAACCCUCAUCCCUUCCCAGGCCUCAGGCUAGGAGAUGCCCCCAAAACCAGGAGCGACCAGGCCCCUUUUGGCUG